RNAcentral lists this unclassified non-coding RNA (338 nucleotides) under soil metagenome. RNAcentral describes it as "partial contains 5.8S ribosomal RNA, internal transcribed spacer 2, and large subunit ribosomal RNA". The stretch from base 1 to 120 matches the Rfam family "5.8S ribosomal RNA", at positions 35 to 154 of the family's 154-position model. The record is from RNAcentral.
GAUGAAGAACGUAGCGAAAUGCGAUAAGUAAUGUGAAUUGCAGAAUUCAGUGAAUCAUCGAAUCUUUGAACGCACAUUGCGCCCGGUAGUAUUCUGCCGGGCAUGCCUGUUCGAGCGUCAUUUCAACCAUCAAGCCCCAGCACUUGUGUUGGGGGCCUGCGGCUGCCGCAGCCCCCUAAAAGCAGUGGCGGGCUCGCUAUCACACCGAGUGCAGUAGUUCAUCUUCUCUCCGGUCUUGUGAGGCGGGUUCCGGCCGUGAAACACCCCACUACAUUCAAGGUUGACCUCGGAUCAGGUAGGAAUACCCGCUGAACUUAAGCAUAUCAAUAAGCGGAGGA